RNAcentral lists this long non-coding RNA (3262 nucleotides) under Olea europaea subsp. europaea. Lineage: Eukaryota; Viridiplantae; Streptophyta; Magnoliopsida; Lamiales; Oleaceae. The record is from RNAcentral.
AUCAUGUUUUUGAUAGGUUGGAGAACAAUGCUUGUUGUACCUGAGCUUGAGAGGUAGGUUGAAUUUCUCUGGGAAUUAAUGGAUACCCGAAAGGUACAAAUAUAGCUUCUGGUUUGACUUAUUUUCUACUACCCUAAAUGAUAUUAAAUGUUUAUAGCAUUCUAGAGAAGUUAAGGCCAUUUCAUUUGUAAACAGUGUUCCUAUUUCACUGUUCAUGAUUUGGCAGUUUUGCUGUCAACUCUGAAAGUUCAUAAUUGAUUCUGUUUAGCAACUUCAGUUAUUGAGGAAUGAGUGUGAUCACGUCAAAGACAACGUACAUCAGAGAAGUGGUUUCUCAGGUAAUCUUCCCUUUUUUACUGCACAGAAUUCUAUUUCAGAUAAGGAUAUUCCCUCACUUGUCAUAAACUCAUAGCCGUUAUGGAAAUACAAAUUGUCAAGGGAUUUCAGAUUCUUCUGCGGCAAUCCCACACACAUAUGUAGUAUUCAUUAUUCUAGUAUUAGAAGAGAAUGAAAGAAGUUUAAGAAAGUUACCAUCUCUGCUGAAUUUUACCAAUUUUUGGAGUUCUUUUGUCUGACAAAUCCAUAUUGUGUAUAACUUGAGAGAACAUCGUGUCAGUGUGUUCCUUAUCAAACAAUCCUUGUUCAGGUUCGAUGGUGUGAAUGUUGAGAGCAAGGAAGAGCUAAUGGCUGAGCUUGACAAAAUGCAGGUUGGUGUAAUUUAUUGAGCAUGAAAAUUUAAGAUAAAAAUUCUUUUGGAAGAGAGUGUUGGAAAAAUUGGUUUUAAUUAGUUGGUUUGACCAACUUUUGACCAAAUAAUUUAGUGGGUCCCGUUAAUCGAAAAUAAGAUUUCUUUGGUCGAAUGUGUUCUACUCCAUGAGUAGAUUAAUAUGGUAUGUUUAUUUUCUCAAAACCAAUUUAGGGUGAAUGAGAAAUUAAGGUCAAAAGAUGCCCAUUUGAUGUGGAAAUAAAAUAGGUGGGAAAUUGGAAAAUACCAAUCCCACAUAGGAAGACUAGAAGAAUAUAAAUCACCUUAUAUAGCUCAAGUUUGAGACUUGGGUUUGGGCUCCAAGGGAUACCAAUAGUCUUUGAGGGGGAGAGAACCUACAUGCUAGUAGGUUAAGCCAAAGCCCAUACGCCCGCGCUGCCGUUAUUCCGACCGGCCGGCUCAGCUCUGCACGGCAUGGUUUUGGGCUUGGGCUUGGGCCAAGCUGAUAUAUAUUUUUUGGUAAAAUAACAUUUAAUUAUAUUAUUUUAUUAUUAUAAUAAUAAUAUAUUUUAUGUUAUUAAUUUUUUUUUCUUCCCCGAAUUUUCUGUAUGUGACAUGUGGUACGGUGCUUUUAGAAUUUAGCGGGUUGUGGCGGUUGACGGUCCAAGUGGCGGUUGAUUGUCCAAACUGUUUGUCUUUUGGACACAACUUUUCGACAGUUGUGUCUGUUGGGACACAACCUUUCAACAUCUAUAAAUAGGCCCCCAUACCCUGGUUUUUAUUCAUUCCAAAAAUCAGAAUUGAUUUUCUACUCUCCCGAAAUUAUCCCUUUGUCCCUGCAUAAUUUUUGUUCUUAUAAUUCAGUUCUCGAAAAUUACUUUUCGUGCAUUUCACUCAUCCAGUGUGUGUGAAGAGAUCUAAACUUUACGGGUUCGUCGGGUCUUGUAAUUUGGAGUACUACUAUUACAAGACGAGGUUGUUGUAUCUUGGGAAACGAGUGUUGCAAUACCGUUAGUACCAGUGCGGGGCAUUAUCGUUUUAAGGAGAAAGAGUCGAACUCUUGUCUCGACCGUUCAAAACCAUCCAAACGUCGUUACUCUGCCCAAAUAUAAAUUACGGUAACACUAUUAUUUGCUAUUAUUUUUCAACAGAGAGGAUUUUAGAUUUCUAGUGAAUUGAUUAUUCCCAUUUUUGGCAAAGUUUAUAAAUCAAUACAUAAAUGGUCAAGCUUCAUAUUCGAUCACACAUUCCAAUGGAUUCACAAGUAUUUCCACUUAUGUAUCACUCAUUUCUUUCUAUCUAUAAAUUAAAUAAAUACUUCCCAAAUAGAGGUGAUAUGAGGGAGGUAUCAUCAGUUCUCUAGUUUUAAAUGCGAAUACAUUUACGAUGUAGAUGUGUGACAACAAAGUUAUUAACAGGAACUUUGCUUCAUAACAAAUAAUUCAAUCCAAAAACUGUGGCUUGAUGUUGUGUGUUUUCCAUUUCUUGUAAUGUUAACUUCUUAAUUGUAAUCUUCCUUUCACCUUUAUUUGUUAAAUUGUGCUUCGUACUCUAGCAUGUUGUAACAGCUUGAAGAUAAUAUAAAUAGAUGCUUGCAUUGCUUGGUUCAUUUUAGCAGCUUUGGAUUCUUGAAAUAUAAUUUCCCUGAAUUACAAGUUUACGUUUUUAUGCAUGUUUUGAUGAUAACUUAAAACUUGCAGUCUCAUAGAGAGAAAGUGCUAUUUACUCAUCAACAAGCUCAGCUAGAAUGUCAUCAAAAGGUGUGAAAUGGCACGAUUCUUCCUUGACCAUUUAAGCUCAAUAAUAAUGCAUUCAUAUAUAGUAGUUGACUUUAGUAUUGAAAUGGCAUGUUUGUAAGAGAAAUUCUACAUCAUUAAAGAAAAAGCAGAAGUUAAAAGUCAAUUUUAUUUUUCUCCAUCUCUAUCCAAUACAUUGUACCAAACAUGCAAUAAGUGAUCAAUACUCACUGCAAGAAUUUAAAUGUUAUGCUUUCAUUGAAUAUAUUCUGUUCCAUAAGAUCUGGGGACAACCGAUGAAGACUGGGUAUCAGAAUUCUAGCUUUGCUCAUCAAGAAAGAUCAAAGAUUUUCAUCCAUGAAGAGAAUUGUCAUGAGUUUGCGGUUUGUAUUUAAUGUUGUGUGAUUUUUGUUUUACAUUCUGAAGGUGGAGAGGUUUGCUUGCCUUUAUUCUGGCCCUUGAGAGGUCAAUUUGAGCUUGUACUCGCUGGACAAAUACUGUAGGCCAAGUGAAGAUUUCAUGCCCCACGAAGUCGAUAUAUUUGGUCUUUGAAAACACCUUUUGUCAAACUUUGUGUUGAGACAUUUUGAGGAUUUUUUUUAAUUAUUUAUUUUAUUUAUUUAUUUUUUCGAAAAAUAUGAAAUGAAGUUGUGUGUUGAAACAUUUUGUUGGACAUCGUGGUUCUUCUAAAAUAAUUAUUAUGUUUUGUUUGCUGUAAUUAUGUGCGGCAUGUUGUUUAAAAUCAGAAUCGACUGAAUAUUUGUUUCAUGUUUUGUAGAGCCAAAUUGUUCUGUGACUAAGAGAAAUUUUUGAACAUAAU